This 395-nucleotide ribosomal RNA is filed under the name uncultured bacterium. Its description in RNAcentral is "partial 16S ribosomal RNA". It matches the Rfam family "Bacterial small subunit ribosomal RNA", at positions 523 to 918 of the family's 1533-position model. The record is from RNAcentral.
AUACGUAGGGUGCAAGCGUUAAUCGGAAUUACUGGGCGUAAAGCGUGCGCAGGCGGUUUUGGAAGACAGUGGUGAAAUCCCCGGGCUCAACCUGGGAACUGCCAUUGUGACUGCAAGGCUGGAGUGCGGCAGAGGGGGAGGGGAUUCCGCGUGUAGCAGGGAAGUGCGUAGAUAUGCGGAGGAACACCGAUGGCGAAGGCAAUCCCCUGGGCCUGCACUGACGCUCAUGCACGAAAGCGUGGGGAGCAAACAGGAUUAGAUACCCUGGUAGUCCACGCCCUAAACGAUGUCAACUGGUUGUUGGGGAUUUAUUUUCUCAGUAACGAAGCUAACGCGUGAAGUUGACCGCCUGGGGAGUACGGCCGCAAGGUUAAAACUCAAAUGAAUUGACGGGG